CAACCCUCAAGCCCCCCCGGGGGCUUGGUGUUGGGGACCGGCCCUGCCUCGUCGCGGGCGCCGCCCCCCAAAUCCAUUGGCGGUCUCGCCGCAGCCUCCUCUGCGUAGUAAUUUUGCACCUCGCACCGGAGCGCGGCUCGGCCACGCCGUAAAACCCCAACUUCUGAAAUG
RNAcentral lists this unclassified non-coding RNA (171 nucleotides) under uncultured Hypomyces. Its description in RNAcentral is "sequence contains ITS2". Lineage: Eukaryota; Fungi; Ascomycota; Sordariomycetes; Hypocreales; Hypocreaceae. The record is from RNAcentral.